Molecule: non-coding RNA, 3491 nt
Organism: Zootermopsis nevadensis
Lineage: Eukaryota; Metazoa; Arthropoda; Insecta; Blattodea; Termopsidae
Source: RefSeq, a predicted model, not a curated record
AGUUGAAGAGAAAUUAUAUCUGGGGGUACGCGAACAAAAAAAGGUUGAAUGCCAUUAUUGGUCUAGAUGACCCUUACUUAUCGGCAUUUCUGUCGGGCGACUUUACAGGUGAAUUACGACGCUUUGCCAUGGAGGAAUAUUCCGUCCUCUGAAGUGGAGAGUUCUGAAAGUACGUUGAGAAAAAAAAACGGGUGCUGUUACCGAUACAACGUGACUUGGCCUACGUCACAGAAGACGAGAUGCCUGAAAUGACGUUGCAAUAUCGAACUAAGUAUUCUGAGAUAUUGUUUUCAAUUGCGUUUGGUUUCUAUUAGAAUUUGAAGGCAUUUGACGGUGGUCUCAGUGCAGGCUGGCUUCUUGUUUGUUUGAGGAAUUUCGUGGAACCUCUGGACACUCGUGUGGCUUUUGAAGGAGGGUUGGCCGUUCACGUCAAAUGCCAACCUCUUGUCCGUAGAGUCCAUUGGCGCCAGGUAACUCGUGCUUACGUCAUACAACACGAGAUACCCGAAAAUUAUGUUGGAGCAUCAGCGAACUAAGGACUCCGGUGAUUGGCGGAGCCGUCUUCACAUUCACGGUGAUUAUGAUAUCAUCAUUCUUCAUCGCCGUCGUGAACCCUCUGAACCUUAAGAUUUUCCCACGCCUCGCUCCUGGACGCUGCUCUGUGACGUCAUAUGACACGAGACGUCUGAAAUGAUGAGGCACCAGCGAGCGACGGACCCGGUGUCGGUGGUCGUCGUUAAUGCAGAUCUCUGUUCUACUAUCGUUGCUGGUAGAAGAACUACACGUGCCACUGUUUCGUCUUGAAAUUCUUCGUAUUUAUGUUGACUCGCAGUGAGGGGAGAUUUUUUAAGAGCAUCUAAAAUUUCUGACUUGUUGAAUUAUAAUUAUUAAUUUUAUAGUAGAGUAGGCAUCAGUUGUAGCAAAUUGAAGUGUGAAUUUAUAUGAUAUUUAAUAUUUAUUUGGCUGAGUUUUCCACUGCCUAAUUAAAGCGUGCAUUGGUAGUGAGUAACCGCGUCAUCUCCAGAAAACGUCUUUUUAUUAUAAAUAAAAUAAUACAGAAUUUAAUGAAGUCAACUCGAAGAAUUAAUGGCAGUGUGAAUGGAGUUAGUGCGUCUUAAACAUGAGUAAAGUUGUAGCAGACUUCAGACCGCAGCAUCUCAGGAUAGAGCGGCCAUUUUGAGAAACAAGGGAUGAAUGCGGAACGUGGCCAUGUCUCAGCGACGUCUGGAUCCUCGGCUCGUCAUCGACAUUACCACUUCGAAUUCAAGGCAGGGGUUCGUUUACCAGUGACAUACAUGAUUCAUUCAAGGCACUACCACUUCCAUGACAACGCAGGGGUUUGUUUUAACAAUGGCGUACGAGAUUCAAACAAGACACUACCAGUUCCAAGGCAAGGCAGGGGUUUGUUUUAGCAAUGACGUACGAGAUUCACCACAGACAUUAACAAUUCGAAGAAAAGGCAGGGGUUUGUUUUAGGAAUGAGGUAUGUGAUUGACCAUAGACGUUACCACUUUCAAGACAAGGCAGGAGUUUGUUUUAGCAAUGAUUUGCGUAAUUUACAUAAUACACCACCAGUUCCUACACACGGCAGGGGGCUGUUUUACCAAUGAUUUACGAGAUUCACAGAAGACACUACUAUUUGCAAAAUGAGGCAGGGAUGUCUUUUAGCAGUGACUUGCGUGAUUCAUACAAUAUGUGUAGCGUGUUUCAAAAGUAGCUUUACAAGUUGAGGAGGGCGAGAUAUCGGUGAACUGAUAGGAGAAAAAUAUAAUCUCAGAAACACUGGAAGUUUUAUGUCCAUCGGAUUUUUAUGGUUGAAUGUGAGUUUCAUUUGUUAUGCGGCAAUAUCUUGCUACACGUGGUGUAGUAGCAUCUCCGGUGACACUUGAGCGGCGGUAAUUGGAGUUUGGAGUUCGGCCACAUUUGCAGGUUAGGGUGGCACGUACACUCGAUGUUUAAGAAAUGCAAAGAAGAAAAAAUAUAGAGGUGUAACGAGGUGACCAUGCUAUUGGUGCGGCCCGACCGAUCCACCGACCUGGGAAACGGUUGUAGAGGUACUCCCGCACUUCUCCGAGGUAAUGAGGGGGUGCACCGUCUUGCUUGAAGUGAAUGCGUCCUUCGUGGUGUUCUUCGUCAAGUUGAGGAAUGAGGAACUGUUGGGGAAUGUCCAGAUACACGAUGCCGGUAAUGGUCUUCUCCAUGAAAAAGUACGGGUCGCACGCUUUAUCCUUGCUGAGGGCUGAGAACACAUGUUCCAGGAAGGCGCGUGGAUUUUCACUACCCCGAAUCCUGCAGUUGUGUGCGUUGACCUUACCAGUGACAUGGAACGUGCUUUCGUCACUGAAAAUUACUGAGUCCAGAAAUCCUUUGUCUUGAACGCGACGUAAUAUUUUUCGGUACUACAGUUUAUGUGCAUGAAACUUGAUGUGUUUGGCUAAAUUCGUGCAUUUAAAAAUAUUGCGUACGUCGUUUAAAUAAAUUUAUAUUCUGCUGAGAAGUUGUAAAGCUACUUUUGAAAGACGGUGUAUACUACGACUCGACACACACGGCGAUUCACCCAAGACUCUACUACCAGCUCUUGCAAUUUGCUUUAUGCGUGUAUCAUUGUAAUUAUUGUUAUGAUAUGAAUAAGUUGUCGUAUGCUACAUGGGACGUGUGAAUAAAAUAUAUCGCCUGCUGAGAACAAUAGUGACGUAAGUCAGAAAUCUCAGUUUGGCGCAACUGCAAUCCUUGAUCCCUCUUCUACCAUAAUUACAAGUUAUUCCGAGUAAAUUGCUUUGAAUUAAUUAUGUAAUUUGUAUGUUUUCUGCAUCUUUUGAGUUGUGUCGCUAAAUGCAUUACGUGAUGCAUAAUAUUUCGUUUUGUAAAGUAGUUUAUUGUUAAAAAAAAAUUGGAUUUAACAUAUUAAUUAACGUUUGGAAUAAUAAUGAUAAUCAUCAAUCUACAACUUUUUCUGGAAGAAGGGUAAGCUAAUGUUAUCUAUAGAAUGACGUUGAUGUCAAAAGGUUUGUGCUCUUUGCUGACAAGAUGAUAAUGGUAAUUAAUUAGUUAAAGCUACUCUGAGGUUUGGCUUUUUAAUAUUGCAUAUCACAUGAAUUAUUAUUAUUAUAAUAAUUAUUAGACCCAUAAAGCAAUAAUAAUAAUAAUAGUAGUAGUAGGUAAAGGAACUGUAAAGCUAUUGAAAUCACAAAGUAGGUGCCUACAUUAAAUACGUAAUUUAGAAAAUGACGCGUUUACUGACGUAAGUCGAAAAUAGGUCUUUUAACAAUUUUCACAGUUGGUGCAGUUACUGACGUCACUAUUGAGGUUAACACUCGCCAAUCCUAACGCCAUCUAGGUCGUCGUCUCAUGAACGAAGACGGUAAGAGAUACGAAGGAAACCUCGACAAUGGUGGCGUUUUAUCGUUCACCUAGCGGCGCAGGGCGGAACUAUUAUUAAUAUGUGUAUACGUAAUAUUUUAUAAAUAAAUGGAGCAGAAGGAAUAUAUAAA